UACGAAGGGGGCUAGCGUUGCUCGGAAUCACUGGGCGUAAAGGGUGCGUAGGCGGGUCUUUUAAGUCAGGGGUGAAAUCCUGGAGCUCAACUCCAGAACUGCCUUUGAUACUGAAGAUCUUGAGUUCGGGAGAGGUGAGUGGAACUGCGAGUGUAGAGGUGAAAUUCGUAGAUAUUCGGAAGAACACCAGUGGCGAAGGCGACUCACUGGACACAUAUUGACGCUGAGGUGCGAAAGCGUGGGGAGCAAACAGGG
Molecule: ribosomal RNA, 255 nt
Filed under: uncultured bacterium
Lineage: Bacteria
Description: partial 16S ribosomal RNA
Rfam family: Bacterial small subunit ribosomal RNA
Source: RNAcentral